GCUGGCGGCAUGCCUAACACAUGCAAGUCGAACGGCAGCACAGCAGUAGCAAUACUGUGGGUGGCGAGUGGCGGACGGGUGAGUAAUGCAUCGGGACCUACCUCAACGUGGGGGAUAACGUAGGGAAACUUACGCUAAUACCGCAUACGUCCUACGGGAGAAAGCAGGGGACCUUCGGGCCUUGCGCGGUGAGACGGACCGAUGUGCGAUUAGCUAGUUGGUAAGGUAAUGGCUUACCAAGGCGACGAUCGCUAGCUGGUCUGAGAGGAUGACCAGCCACACUGGAACUGAGACACGGUCCAGACUCCUACGGGAGGCAGCAGUGGGGAAUAUUGGACAAUGGGCGCAAGCCUGAUCCAGCAAUGCCGCGUGUGUGAAGAAGGCCUUCGGGUUGUAAAGCACUUUUAUCAGGAACGAAAUACUACGGGUUAAUAACCUGUGGGGCUGACGGUACCUGAGGAAUAAGCACCGGCUAACUUCGUGCCAGCAGCCGCGGUAAUACGAAGGGUGCAAGCGUUAAUCGGAAUUACU
RNAcentral lists this ribosomal RNA (531 nucleotides) under uncultured Lysobacterales bacterium. RNAcentral's name for it is "bacterial SSU rRNA". It matches the Rfam family "Bacterial small subunit ribosomal RNA", at positions 35 to 555 of the family's 1533-position model. The record is from RNAcentral. Lineage: Bacteria; Pseudomonadati; Pseudomonadota; Gammaproteobacteria; Lysobacterales.